RNAcentral lists this ribosomal RNA (255 nucleotides) under uncultured bacterium. RNAcentral's name for it is "partial 16S ribosomal RNA". It matches the Rfam family "Bacterial small subunit ribosomal RNA", at positions 524 to 776 of the family's 1533-position model. The record is from RNAcentral.
UACGUAGGGGGGCAAGCGUUGUCCGGAUUUAUUGGGCGUAAAGAGCUCGUAGGCGGCUCGGUAAGUCGGAUGUGAAACCUCCAGGCUCAACCCUGGAGACGCCAUCUGAUACUGCCGUGGCUUGAGUCCGGUAGAGGAGCAGGGAAUUCCUGGUGUAGCGGUGAAAUGCGCAGAUAUCAGGAGGAACACCAGCGGCGAAGGCGCUGCUCUGGGCCGGUACUGACGCUGAGGAGCGAAAGCGUGGGAGCGAACAGG